GAUGAACGCUGGCGGCGUGCCUAAUACAUGCAAGUCGAGCGAACGGACGAGAAGCUUGCUUCUCUGAUGUUAGCGGCGGACGGGUGAGUAACACGUGGAUAACCUACCUAUAAGACUGGGAUAACUUCGGGAAACCGGAGCUAAUACCGGAUAAUAUUUUGAACCGCAUGGUUCAAAAGUGAAAGACGGUCUUGCUGUCACUUAUAGAUGGAUCCGCGCUGCAUUAGCUAGUUGGUAAGGUAACGGCUUACCAAGGCAACGAUGCAUAGCCGACCUGAGAGGGUGAUCGGCCACACUGGAACUGAGACACGGUCCAGACUCCUACGGGAGGCAGCAGUAGGGAAUCUUCCGCAAUGGGCGAAAGCCUGACGGAGCAACGCCGCGUGAGUGAUGAAGGUCUUCGGAUCGUAAAACUCUGUUAUUAGGGAAGAACAUAUGUGUAAGUAACUGUGCACAUCUUGACGGUACCUAAUCAGAAAGCCACGGCUAACUACGUGCCAGCAGCCGCGGUAAUACGUAGGUGGCAAGCGUUAUCCGGAAUUAUUGGGCGUAAAGCGCGCGUANGCGGUUUUUUAAGUCUGAUGUGAAAGCCCACGGCUCAACCGUGGAGGGUCAUUGGAAACUGGAAAACUUGAGUGCAGAAGAGGAAAGUGGAAUUCCAUGUGUAGCGGUGAAAUGCGCAGAGAUAUGGAGGAACACCAGUGGCGAAGGCGACUUUCUGGUCUGUAACUGACGCUGAUGUGCGAAAGCGUGGGGAUCAAACAGGAUUAGAUACCCUGGUAGUCCACGCCGUAAACGAUGAGUGCUAAGUGUUAGGGGGUUUCCGCCCCUUAGUGCUGCAGCUAACGCAUUAAGCACUCCGCCUGGGGAGUACGACCGCAAGGUUGAAACUCAAAGGAAUUGACGGGGACCCGCACAAGCGGUGGAGCAUGUGGUUUAAUUCGAAGCAACGCGAAGAACCUUACCAAAUCUUGACAUCCUUUGACAACUCUAGAGAUAGAGCCUUCCCCUUCGGGGGACAAAGUGACAGGUGGUGCAUGGUUGUCGUCAGCUCGUGUCGUGAGAUGUUGGGUUAAGUCCCGCAACGAGCGCAACCCUUAAGCUUAGUUGCCAUCAUUAAGUUGGGCACUCUAAGUUGACUGCCGGUGACAAACCGGAGGAAGGUGGGGAUGACGUCAAAUCAUCAUGCCCCUUAUGAUUUGGGCUACACACGUGCUACAAUGGACAAUACAAAGGGCAGCGAAACCGCGAGGUCAAGCAAAUCCCAUAAAGUUGUUCUCAGUUCGGAUUGUAGUCUGCAACUCGACUACAUGAAGCUGGAAUCGCUAGUAAUCGUAGAUCAGCAUGCUACGGUGAAUACGUUCCCGGGUCU
RNAcentral lists this ribosomal RNA (1372 nucleotides) under uncultured bacterium. RNAcentral describes it as "bacterial SSU rRNA". It matches the Rfam family "Bacterial small subunit ribosomal RNA", at positions 28 to 1381 of the family's 1533-position model. The record is from RNAcentral.